UUACUUACCUGCCAGGGGAGAUACCAUGAUCACGAAAGUGAUUUUCCCAGGGUGAGGCUUAUCCAUUGCACUCUGGAUGUGCUGACCCCUGUAAUUUCCACCAAUGUGGGGAACUAGACUGCAUUUUCUAUUCUCUCCCAGAAUUACUUGUCAUUUCUAAA
Molecule: small nuclear RNA, 161 nt
Organism: Artibeus jamaicensis (Jamaican fruit-eating bat)
Lineage: Eukaryota; Metazoa; Chordata; Mammalia; Chiroptera; Phyllostomidae
Product: U1 spliceosomal RNA
Exons: 1
Source: RefSeq, a predicted model, not a curated record